This 513-nucleotide ribosomal RNA is filed under the name uncultured bacterium. Its description in RNAcentral is "partial 16S ribosomal RNA". It matches the Rfam family "Bacterial small subunit ribosomal RNA", at positions 28 to 523 of the family's 1533-position model. The record is from RNAcentral.
GAUGAACGCUGGCGGCGUGCCUAAUACAUGCAAGUCGAGCGGACCAAAGAGAGCUUGCUCUCUGAGGUUAGCGGCGGACGGGUGAGUAACACGUGGGUAACCUGCCUGUAAGACGGGGAUAACUUCGGGAAACCGAAGCUAAUACCGGAUGAUAAAGAGAAACGCCUGUUUCUUUUUUGAAAGUCGGCCUUGUGCUGACGCUUACAGAUGGGCCCGCGGCGCAUUAGCUAGUUGGUGAGGUAACGGCACACCAAGGCGACGAUGCGUAGCCGACCUGAGAGGGUGAUCGGCCACACUGGGACUGAGACACGGCCCAGACUCCUACGGGAGGCAGAAGUAGGGAAUCUUCGGCAAUGGACGAAAGUCUGACCGAGCAACGCCGCGUGAGCGAUGAAGGCCUUCGGGUCGUAAAGCUCUGUUGUCAGAGAAGAACAAGUACCGGAGUAACUGCCGGUACCUUGACGGUACCUGACCAGAAAGCCACGGCUAACUACGUGCCAGCAGCCGCGGUAA